This 459-nucleotide ribosomal RNA is filed under the name uncultured bacterium. Its description in RNAcentral is "partial 16S ribosomal RNA". It matches the Rfam family "Bacterial small subunit ribosomal RNA", at positions 338 to 795 of the family's 1533-position model. The record is from RNAcentral.
CCUACGGGUGGCAGCAGUGAGGAAUAUUGGUCAAUGGACGGGAGCCUGAACCAGCCAAGUCGCGUGAGGGACGACGGUCCUAUGGAUUGUAAACCUCUUUUGUCGGGGAACAAAGGCGCCCACGGGUGUGCGUAUGAGUGUACCCGACGAAAAAGCAUCGGCUAACUCCGUGCCAGCAGCCGCGGUAAUCCGGAGGAUUCGAGCGUUAUCCGGAUUUAUUGGGUUUAAAGGGUGGGUAGGCGGACGGUCAAGUCAGCGGUAAAAACGCGGUGCUCAACGCCGUACAGCCGUUGAAACUGGCAGUCUUGAGUGGGCGAGAAGUAGGCGGAAUGAGUGGUGUAGCGGUGAAAUGCAUAGAUAUCACGCAGAACUCCGAUUGCGAAGGCAGCAUACCGGGGUCCUACUGACGCUGAGGCACGAAAGCGUGGGUAUCGAACAGGAUUAGAUACCCGGGUAGUC